CUUGACACCCAUAAGAGGUCCAGCCUGCCCAGUGACUCUGUUCAACGGCCGCGGUAUCCUAACCGUGCGAAGGUAGCGUAAUCACUUGUUCUUUAAAUGAGGACUAGUAUGAAUGGCACCACGAAGGUUAUACUGUCUCCUUUUUCUAAUCAGUGAAACUAAUCUUCCCGUGAAGAAGCGGGAAUAAAAAUAUAAGACGAGAAGACCCUAUGGAGCUUUAAACAAACAUACAACUGCCUUCUUUUUAGAUAUUUCAGAAGAAAACCUUUAUUUAGGCAUUUUGAUAUAGAGUUUUAGGUUGGGGUGACCACGGAGUAAAAAACAACCUCCGCAAUGAAAGGGGCUCUUCCCCUAAGCUAAGGGCUACAACCCUAAGAAUCAAAAAAUUGACACCAAUUGACCCAAUAUACUUGAUCAAUGAAC
This 423-nucleotide ribosomal RNA is filed under the name Leptodactylus longirostris group sp. ABGD cluster 24. RNAcentral describes it as "partial large subunit ribosomal RNA". It matches the Rfam family "Bacterial large subunit ribosomal RNA", at positions 1835 to 2457 of the family's 2925-position model. The record is from RNAcentral. Lineage: Eukaryota; Metazoa; Chordata; Amphibia; Anura; Leptodactylidae.